Molecule: ribosomal RNA, 442 nt
Filed under: uncultured bacterium
Lineage: Bacteria
Description: partial 16S ribosomal RNA
Rfam family: Bacterial small subunit ribosomal RNA
Source: RNAcentral
CCUACGGGAGGCAGCAGUAGGGAAUCUUUCACAAUGGGCGAAAGCCUGAUGGAGCAACGCCGCGUGCGGGAUGAAGGCCUUCGGGUUGUAAACUGCUUUUAUAAGCGAGAAAUAUGAUGGUAACUUAUGAAUAAGGAUCGGCUAACUACGUGCCAGCAGCCGCGGUCAUACGUAGGAUGCGAGCAUUAUCCGGAGUGACUGGGUGUAAAGAGUGGCGUAGGUGGCAUAAUAAGUAGCGAGUGAAAUCUGGUGGCUCAACCAUUAAGACUAUUAGCUAAACUGUUAAGCUCGAGACCGUUAGGGGUAACUGGAAUUUCUAGUGUAGGAGUGAAAUCCGUAGAUAUUAGAAGGAACACCAGUAGCGUAGGCAGGUUGCUGGGACGGUUCUGACACUAAGGCACGAAAGCGUAGGGAGCAAACGGGAUUAGAUACCCUGGUAGUC